UACGUAGGCAGCGAGCGUUGUUCGGAGUUACUGGGCGUAAAGAGUGCGUAGGCGGUUUUCUAAGUUUGGUGUGAAAUCUCCCGGCUUAACUGGGAGGGUGCGCCGAAAACUGGAAGGCUUGAGUAUGGGAGAGGUAAGCGGAAUUCCUAGUGUAGCGGUGAAAUGCGUAGAUAUCGGGAGGAACAUCAGUGGCGAAGGCGGCUACCUGGCCCAAUACUGACACUCAGGUGCGACAGCGUGGGGAGCAAACAGG
This 253-nucleotide ribosomal RNA is filed under the name uncultured bacterium. Its description in RNAcentral is "partial 16S ribosomal RNA". It matches the Rfam family "Bacterial small subunit ribosomal RNA", at positions 524 to 776 of the family's 1533-position model. The record is from RNAcentral.